CCUACGGGUGGCAGCAGUGAGGAAUAUUGGUCAAUGGCCGGAAGGCUGAACCAGCCAAGCCGCGUGAGGGAGGAAGGCGCAGAGCGUCGUAGACCUCUUUUGUCGGGGGACAAAAGCCGGGACUCGUCCGGUCCUGAGGGUACCCGGAGAAAAAGCAUCGGCUAACUCCGUGCCAGCAGCCGCGGUAAUACGGAGGAUGCGAGCGUUAUCCGGAUUUAUUGGGUUUAAAGGGUGCGCAGGCGGGCCGUUAAGCCGGCGGUCAAAUCGCGGGGCUCAACCCCGCCGAGCCGUUGGAACUGGGAGACUAGAGUGCGGCAGAGGGAUGGGGAAUGCGCGGUGUAGCGGUGAAAUGCAUAGAUAUCGCGCAGAACCACGAUUGCGAAGGCAGCGUGCCGGGCCGACACUGACGCUGAGGCACGAAAGCGCGGGGAUCGAACAGGAUUAGAUACCCGAGUAGUC
RNAcentral lists this ribosomal RNA (459 nucleotides) under uncultured bacterium. Its description in RNAcentral is "partial 16S ribosomal RNA". It matches the Rfam family "Bacterial small subunit ribosomal RNA", at positions 338 to 795 of the family's 1533-position model. The record is from RNAcentral.